CCAAUAGCGUAUAUUAAAGUUGUUGCAGUUAAAAAGCUCGUAGUUGAAUUUCGGGAUUAGUACGUUGGUCGUGCCUUCGGUACGUACUGGUGUUACUGAUUCCUACCUUCUGACGAACCAUCAUGUCAUUUAUUUGGUGUGGCGGGGAAUCAGGACUGUUACUUUGAAAAAAUUAGAGUGUUUAAAGCAGGAUAGCGCUUGAAUACAUUAGCAUGGAAUAAUGAAAUAGGACGUUGACCCUAUUUUGUUGGUUUCUAGGAUUGACGUAAUGAUUAAUAGGGAUAGUUGGGGGCAUUAGUAUUCAAUUGUCAGAGGUGAAAUUCUUUGAUUUAUUGAAGACUAACUACUGCGAAAGCAUUUGCCAAGGAUGUUUUCAUUAAUCAAGAACGAAAGUUAGGGGAUCGAAGACGAUCAGAUACCGUCGUAGUCUUAACCAUAAACUAUGCCGACUAGGGAUCGGAUGAUGUUAUUUUUAAUGACUCAUUCGGCGCCUUACG
RNAcentral lists this ribosomal RNA (497 nucleotides) under uncultured Glomeromycotina. Its description in RNAcentral is "partial small subunit ribosomal RNA". It matches the Rfam family "Eukaryotic small subunit ribosomal RNA", at positions 591 to 1092 of the family's 1831-position model. Lineage: Eukaryota; Fungi; Glomeromycota. The record is from RNAcentral.